GUGCGAGCGGGCAGCAGGGAAGCGAAAGAAAAAUGAGAAGUGAGCGGGCAGCCACAGAAGAAAGAGAAAAGAAAAAUGAGAAGUGAGCGGGCAGCCAGAGAAAAAGAGAAGCGACCGGGCGUCUUCCCUGUGACCCUCGUCCCCUCUUGCCGUCGCCGGCUCCUCUCCUCUCCCCGCGCCUCGUCCGCCUCCUCUCCUCCCUCUUCCCUGUCUCCUCACCCGCACCGCCAACUCCUUCUCUCUCCUUGCCCCAGCCGUCUCUCUCCUCCCGCGCGCCGUCAGCUCCGAAUCUGGAGGAAGAGGAGAGAUGCUGGAUUUGGAGGAAGAGGAGAGAUGCGGGAUCUGGAGGAGGAAGAGGAGAUCCGGGCGUCCCGGCGGUGGCUCGACCAAUGCAAGCUGACCUCCUCAUCUCCGACGCGGCCUCUAACCACAUUCUCGACGACGACGCGUUGCUCAUCCCCGCCGGCUUCGAUCUCGUUAUCACGCGUGCCCAUCAAGUUCGUGGACGGCCGCGGGGACGCAUCGGCUCCUUGUGAGGACAAAGCUGAGGACCAGCAUGGUUGUGGGCGCAGUGACCGAGGCGAUGGCAUUGCGUCAUUUUUGCCUCCAUUUCAUUAUUUUUAUGAUCCAGAUAAGGCUGUUCGUCCUGGUUUGGAGGCAGAUGGUGCCAAGGUAGCUCAAAGUUCCGAGAAAAGGUAAAAUUCAGACCUGUUUUUAUCACUGGUAAACUUUUGUGAUCUUCUCUAUUUAUUUAGAUUCAAUUACCAUAGCUGUGGUAAUUUCAUUUUUGUUCCUUGGACAAAUCCUGCAAAUUUUUAAUAGGAAGCAUGUUUCUUGCGUAAUUUUCUCUCGAGACACAAACAGGUGUCACUAUAGGAAAAAUAUCGUAACCAUCAUCUCCCUAGUCAUAGUUCGGGAAAAAAAACUUAUCAAACAUAUAAUUCCAGCUAUGUUACCCGCAUAGCAAGUGCCAUCACGGUAAAGUCAUCCGGUCUGCACGUUGUAUAUCGCCGUCGAUUGUCAGUGUACCUUCCAUAGCUGUGGUAAUUUCAUUUUUGUUUCGCAUGUGGGUUUGGGUGGCCAAGAGAUUUUGCACCACGAACUGUAGCAACAGCCUGACGGUGUAUCUCCCUUGAGCAACAAUCUCCCAUCGUUUUUGUUGAUGAUUUUUUUGCCAGUUUUUGCCAGUUAAGUACUUUCCUGAAGGAGCUCCCAGUUAGGCUUUGAUGUCUGCUUUAGUCUGAUAUUUCCAUUUGAUCUUCCAAAAGGAGCAACCAUCACAGUACCGAAAUUAUGUUCCACUUGAUGGUUCUUAAUUGUAUUUCUCAGUUUGUGUUUGGACUUCCACUGUAGGUGGUUGCGAAUCUCAGGCUUUGCAUGUCCGUCUAUGACAUCCUUGCCGUCAAAGGCAGAUUCAUCUUUCUAGUAUAGGGCUGCUCGACGUAUAAAGUAAUUUGUGCCAUCAUCUCUGCCAUCCAUUUAUCUUUGCUAAGGAAUGUGAGAUGUUACUACUUACUAAUUUUGUAUGUUGUUUAGUAUUCCACUGGUUGCAUGGUGGAUGUUUUUUGCUGUUAGUUUCUUUAUAUGCUAGCGAAGCUCGAGUUCAAUAGUUCUUGUCAUUACGUAUUUGUUAUUCACCCCCGUACUGAAUUUCUUUAAAAUACAUUGGUUCCGGUCUUGACUAUGGGCUGUUUUGCCAUGCUUACAUCAGAGCUCAAAAGUAGAUGUCAUCAACAAGUAGGUGAUACCUGUCUGUCCGAUUUAGCAUUUUCGAAUUGCUCACAACAUUUCUUUCAGCAUGUCAAUGAAAAUGGCACCUUCCCGUUCUGAUGUUCAUUAUGUUUCUUGAAGCCCUCACCAUCUUUAUAUUCAUUACAUAUUCUCAAUAGCUUAUUUCUUAAUAAUACCUAAAGUGAAUACCAGGAGCUCAUCCUUACCUCUCCGGUCUAUUCUUAUUUGAGUAUUAAGAGCACCUACAUUACUUUGGUUCUGUAUGACUGAUCAAAUUUACACACACCUCAAUCAUAGUAAAAUCUGGAAGGAGACGUAAAAGAAUCAAAGAAAAGUAGAGAUGCACAAUAAUCUUACUUUUCAGGGAUUGUUCUUGGGUUCAGCUUUCGCUGGCAUGUUGUUACUACAGAGUUACCCUAUCUCUUUGAAUCGUCGUAUAUACUCCAAACUCUUAUAGAUUAUGCAACUAGCUAAUGGUUGAAACUUUAAUACUCCGCUUUAUGUUAGUUGCUUGUUCUGACUGUAUGUGAUGAUUAUAUCCAUGUGUAUGUAUGUGGUCUUCAAAGUUGUUGAAAGAUUUAAAGCAUAAGCAAGCUCGUCAAAUUCCUUCGGUACGUCAUAUAUUCUUAUGUCUCCUUCCUAUGCUUUAGAGGUUUAUAAUAAGAAGAUAUGAGAUUCAGUCUUCCCUUUUCAGUAUAUCUGGAAGUAUAUGGGAGAGAUUACUAGGUCACACAUAUAGUUCAGUUAUUAAGUUUCUAAAUAAGUUCACAUUGUAGGAUUAAUAUUUGGCACCUGACAUGAGAUUGAGAAAUACCAUGCUUUAAUUAAUUAUUAGUACAUACCUUGUGCAGGGCACAUAAAAUAUAUCUGAUAUCGUUUUUUAUGAAUAUUUUUUUUCUUUUCUACCCUAAUUCAGUAGCACCACUUCUUGAUGUUAUUUCUCUAUACGAUUGUUGCUUCCACUAUAGUUUUUCUCACUGAAAUGAAUUUGAAUUAGGUCACUUUAGUACCAAGGUAAAAAUUUAUUUGUUCUUGAGAAGAGCCAAAAUCCUAGGUGAUCGUUAGAUAUUAUUGAUAAUUAUCAAUUAAUAAUUAUAUGCUUGACUGUUUGUUGAUGACCAGUAAAUUUGUCAGUGUGCUUUUGGAAUUUCCAUGUGUUGAAUAAAAUUGGCAAUGGGAUCGGGAGUUGGUGGCAAAGAAUUAUGUGGUUUGAUGGCACUAGGGGCAGGAGUGGUGAUUUGACUAAGAAGGUGCCUAAAUAAGCUGUGAGGCUGCCUAAACAAAAAUGUAUUUCUGUUAACCGAUCUAAGUCAUUCUACUAUCUGUAAACCAAUUUAAGUCACUCUACUAUUUGUAAUACAAUCCACAUUGCAUUAUCUUUCUAUCUACAUUUCCUACUUACUCACUACUAACAUUGCUUCUAACUGGCUUCCGGGUCAUCUAGUAGCUCUAAAAGAUGACUAUAGCUCUACAGAUGGCGCUUGUUUCGAAC
Molecule: ribosomal RNA, 3223 nt
Filed under: Triticum aestivum (bread wheat)
Lineage: Eukaryota; Viridiplantae; Streptophyta; Magnoliopsida; Poales; Poaceae
Description: partial small subunit ribosomal RNA
Source: RNAcentral